UCGGAACGUGUCCUGGUCGUGGGGGAUCGCCCGGCGAAAGCCGGAUUAAUACCGCAUACGCUCUGUGGAGGAAAGCGGGGGAUCUUUCGGGACCUCGCGCUCAAGGGGCGGCCGAUGGCAGAUUAGGUAGUUGGUGGGGUAAAGGCCUACCAAGCCGACGAUCUGUAGCUGGUCUGAGAGGACGACCAGCCACACUGGGACUGAGACACGGCCCAGACUCCUACGGGAGGCAGCAGUGGGGAAUUUUGGACAAUGGGCGCAAGCCUGAUCCAGCAAUGCCGCGUGUGUGAAGAAGGCCUUCGGGUUGUAAAGCACUUUUGUCCGGAAAGAAAACCUCUGGGUUAAUACCCUGGGGGGAUGACGGUACCGGAAGAAUAAGCACCGGCUAACUACGUGCCAGCAGCCGCGGUAAUACGUAGGGUGCGAGCGUUAAUCGGAAUUACUGGGCGUAAAGCGUGCGCAGGCGGUGAUGUAAGACCGAUGUGAAAUCCCCGGGCUUAACCUGGGAACUGCAUUGGUGACUGCAUCGCUCGAGUAUGGCAGAGGGGGGUAGAAUCCACGUGUAGCAGUGAAAUGCGUAGAGAUGU
RNAcentral lists this ribosomal RNA (587 nucleotides) under Burkholderia sp. Mp282. Its description in RNAcentral is "bacterial SSU rRNA". It matches the Rfam family "Bacterial small subunit ribosomal RNA", at positions 118 to 699 of the family's 1533-position model. Lineage: Bacteria; Pseudomonadati; Pseudomonadota; Betaproteobacteria; Burkholderiales; Burkholderiaceae. The record is from RNAcentral.